RNAcentral lists this ribosomal RNA (762 nucleotides) under Golovinomyces artemisiae. RNAcentral's name for it is "eukaryotic LSU rRNA". It matches the Rfam family "Eukaryotic large subunit ribosomal RNA", at positions 1 to 777 of the family's 3401-position model. Lineage: Eukaryota; Fungi; Ascomycota; Leotiomycetes; Helotiales; Erysiphaceae. The record is from RNAcentral.
UUGACCUCGAAUCAGGUAGGGAUACCCGCUGAACUUAAGCAUAUCAAUAAGCGGAGGAAAAGAAACCAACCGGGAUUACCUCAGUAACGGCGAGUGAAGCGGUAACAGCUCAAAUUUGAAAUCUGGCUCCUACGGAGUCCGAGUUGUAAUUUGUAGAAGAUGCUUUGGGAGGUAGGGCCGGCCUAAGUUCCUUGGAACAGGACAUCAGAGAGGGUGAGAAUCCCGUAUGUGGCCGUGGCCUACGCCCGUGUAAAGCUCUUUCGACGAGUCGAGUUGUUUGGGAAUGCAGCUCAAAAUGGGUGGUAAAUUUCAUCUAAAGCUAAAUAUUGGCCAGAGACCGAUAGCGCACAAGUAGAGUGAUCGAAAGAUGAAAAGCACUUUGGAAAGAGAGUUAAACAGUACGUGAAAUUGUUGAAAGGGAAGCGCUUGCAACCAGACUUGGGUGUCGUGGAUCAUCCGAGGUUCUCCUCGGUGCACUCGACGAUGCGCAGGCCAGCAUCGGUUUGGGUGGUUGGAGAAAGGCUCUAGGAACGUAGCUCUCUUCGGGGAGUGUUAUAGCCUAGGGCGCAAUGCAGCCCAUCCGGACCGAGGACCGCGCCUUCGGGCUAGGAUGCUGGCGUAAUGGUUGUAAGCGACCCGUCUUGAAACACGGACCAAGGAGUCUAACAUCUAUGCGAGUGUUUGGGCGUUAAACCCAUACGCGGAAUGAAAGUGAACGUAGGUGAGAACCCGUUAGGGUGCAUCAUCGACCGAUCCUGAUCU